GAAGGUAUAGCUCAGUGGUCGAGUACAUGCCUAGUAUGCAUGAGGUCCUGGAUUCAAUGCCCAGUACCUCCG
Molecule: transfer RNA, 72 nt
Filed under: Camelus bactrianus (Bactrian camel)
Lineage: Eukaryota; Metazoa; Chordata; Mammalia; Artiodactyla; Camelidae
Also listed under: 2 other names
Rfam family: tRNA
About the family: Transfer RNA (tRNA) molecules are approximately 80 nucleotides in length. Their secondary structure includes four short double-helical elements and three loops (D, anti-codon, and T loops).
Source: Rfam by way of RNAcentral